Molecule: long non-coding RNA, 677 nt
Organism: Betta splendens (Siamese fighting fish)
Lineage: Eukaryota; Metazoa; Chordata; Actinopteri; Anabantiformes; Osphronemidae
Exons: 2
Source: RefSeq, a predicted model, not a curated record
ACCCUGGGCCCAGCUCUUUACCAUCCAGGCUGUGUCGAAGGCCGCCAGGAAGCCUCGGGCACAACCCGUCCCCAUUGGCCAGAAGGGCUGCAUGGGAACGCAUAGAAACGAGUGGAACUGUGCAUCAGUGUAAGCAGCAUCUUACAGGAGGAACGUGUGUGAUGUUAGUCACAUUGUCAACGCGACACAACUUGCCUCCUCUCACCUCUAGCAGACUGUCGCCCACCAGCGCUACCAGGAGCUGGUGUCCCGACCGCUCCCUGACCAGGGCGGCGUUCUCAGAGGCGUGCAUGCUCGUGAAGUCAAACAUCGCCACGUCUGGCUGGCCGCAGUGGUUCAUGGCAAAGUCCAGCGUGGGGAGUUGGUAGUUGGUGCCAAAAUCAGCAGCCUCGCGCGCGUAGCACAGAAGAGCUUCCUGGUUGACGUUUUCACUGCACAGCAGCAUCUGGGUGUCUAUGUAGUCCUGUCCAUUAGAAGCAUUACGGUUAAUUAUAUGGUUUAUAGCUGCAGACACUUAAAACAUUGACUUGAAAAAUGCUGAGCUUACGUUAAGGACAACCCCCUUGUCCAGCAGGCUCUGUUUCUUGGCGGUCAUGACAAAGUAAUGUGUGUUGUCCUUGUAGUAGACUAUGUUCUCCAGGUCAAUACCUGAAAAACAAAUAAAAAUGUUCCACAUG